AACAAAGUUUGCAUCUGGUAGCAUUACUGCCCACCAGCACCUGCCCCGAUGCAUCUAUGUGGUAAGGACAGUGGAAACAGCUCUGUCAAUCAUCCACCAUAUCCACCCCUGCAUGAGUGGAGAGGGAGACCGGCUGGAAGGUGAGUGAGCAGCAACUCCUGUCUCAGGCUUCCACUGAACAGCAGAUUUUCAAUCUCUGCACAAAUUCCCAACAGAAAACUACACUUCAUUUUUCCCUUUAGUAUUGGGAAAUAUUUCAACUGCACAGAAAAGUGCAGCUAAUAUUGUAAAAAUGCCUAUACCAGCUUUAUCAAACUUCAACAUUAAUUUUGUUUAAAAGAAACAAACGUGAACAGAAUAUAGUUGAUAUUCUGGGUUACUCCUCCUAUCCUUUCUCUUCCUCUACCUACUGUCUUGACUUCGCUGUCUGUCAUUCCUAUGCAUAUUUUAUGCACCUUAUACAUUUACAUAAAAUUAAAAUAUAAUUGUUUAUAUGUGUUUACAUAAAUGGCAUUCACUUGCAAACUUGAUUUCUUUUUUAAAAUAUUUUUAUUUAUUCUUUAGUUAUAGGUGGACACAAUUGCUUUAUUUUAUUUUACGUGGUGCUGAGGAUCCAUCCCAGUGCCUCACGCAUGCUAGGUGAGUGGUCUACCUCUGAGCCACAACCCCAGUCUGCAAACUUGAUUUCUUUUACACUCAACAUUAUGUUUGGAAGACGUAUCCUUAGUGAGACAUGCAACUUGAGUUAUUCCUUUUGCUUUGCUUUAUUCCAAUGUGGGACUUCAAACAGUUUAUUUAUCUAUGAUUUGUUCAGAGGCACUUGGGACACUUAACACUUUCAGUCUUGCAAAUAAAGUUUUCAUGAACGUAGUUGUCAUUGUCUUUGGGCACAUGCCCCACGAUGUUUACCCAGGAGUGGAACUGCUGGGACACAGAGUAGGCAUAUCUCUAACUUUAUUAGAUUCUGCCUAUUUUUUUUUCCCCAAGUGAACUAACUUACAUCUCUACCAGCAUUGGAAAGAGUUCCUAUCUCUACACAUUUUCAUCAAUGCUUAGAACAGUCAGACUAAUUUCUGGUCAUCUAGUGGGAAGAAAAUAAUUUUCUCUCUCCCCACCCCUGCACCUUUCUUCCUUUUUUCUUUUAAAAAUUUUCCAGUUUUACCCUGGUGCAUUGGCACAUGCCUGUAAUCCCAGUGGCUCAGGAGGCUGAGGUAGGAAGAUUGCACAUUCAAAGCUAGCCUUGGCAACAUAGCAAAGCCCUGAACAAUUUAAUGGGACCCUGUCUCAAAAUAUUUUUUAAAAAAUUAAGAUGGGGGUGCUGUGGAUGUGGCUCAGUGGUUAAGCUCUCUGUUGCAAAAAAAAAAAAUUUUUGCUCAGCUUUCUAUCUUGUCAAAGUUUACUUGACAAGCAAGAAUUGAAUACACAUUCAAGUUGAACGACACUACUAAUAUAUAGUAUAUAGUAUAUAUGUAUAUAUAUAUACUAUAUUGUAAAAUGAGUCUCACCAUCAAGCUAUUUAACAUAUCCAUUGUCUCACAUAGUUGCAAUUUUCUUGUAUGUGGAGAGAAUACUGCACUCUCUUAACAAAUACAGCACAGUAUUAUGAACCAUUGUAAUCAAGCCGUACAUAUAAUCUCUAUUCCUCCCCUUUUUAAAAACAGUUUUAUCAAGGGCUGGGGAUAAUGGCUUAGUGGUAGAGUGUGAGGCCCUGGGUUCCAUCCUCAGCACCACAAAAUACACACACACACACACACACACACACAGCUUUACUGAGAUAUAAUGCAUAUACCUUCCAGUUCAUCCAUUUAAAGUGUAUAGUCUGCCAGGCGUAGCACACUCCUGUAAUCCCAGUGACUUGGGAGUCUGAGGCAGGACAACCACAAGUUCAAAGCCAGCCUCAACAAUUUGGCAACAUCCUAAGAAACUUAGCAAGACCCUGUCUCAAAAAAUAAAAAGGGCUGGGGCUGGGGCUCAGUGGUAAAGCACUCCUGUGUUCAAUCCCCAGGACCAAAAAGACAAACGAUGUAUAGCCCAGUGUUUCUUUGUAUAUCCACAGCUGUGCACCCAUCACCAUAGUCCAUCAGAGAAUGUUUUCAUUGCCCUCAAAAGAAAUCCUACUCAGCUGUCACUUUGCCCUUCUUGCCCAUCUCCCCACCAUCUCCUUAGCCCUGGGCAAACACUGACCCACUGUCUGUCUUUUUAGAUUUGUCUCUUCUUGACAUUUCAUAUAAGUAGAUCAGGCUGGGGAUACAGCUCAGUAGGUAGAGUGUUGCUUUGCAUGCACAAGCCCCUCCCCCCCAAAAAUCAUAUAAGUAGAUCAAACCUGCAAUUCCAUUAUAAAUUCCUACAACCUGACCAUGAAAGAUUUUAUUAGUUUUUUAGUUUGCGGUGGUCGGGAUGGAACUCAGGGCCUCAAGCAUACUAGGCAAGCCCUCCAACACUAAGCUACAUCCCCAGCCUCCCAGCCCUAUGUUUUUGUAAUUCUUAAAUUUUAGAUAGGCUAUUGCUAAGUAGCCCAAAUUGGCCUUGAACUUAGGAUCCUCCUGCCUCAGUCUCCCAAGAAGCCGGAGUGAUGGAUGAGAGCCACCACACCCAGCUAUUUUUUUUUCUUUAAUGUUGGCAAAUACUUCAAUACAUGGUUGAUACCUAUUUUAAUCUGCAUUUCCCUGAUUAAUAGUGAGUCUGGCAAUUGUCCAAAUGCUUAUUGGUCUUUCAGAGUACCUCAUUUAUGAAUUGCCAGUUUACAUUCUCUUAUUUUAUAUAAGAUUAUUUAUCUUCAUCUUGUUUGUUCAUAAGAGUUCGCUAGAAAAUCACAUAUUAAUCUCUUUCUCUC
Molecule: long non-coding RNA, 2833 nt
Filed under: Marmota monax (woodchuck)
Lineage: Eukaryota; Metazoa; Chordata; Mammalia; Rodentia; Sciuridae
Source: RNAcentral